This 433-nucleotide ribosomal RNA is filed under the name uncultured bacterium. RNAcentral's name for it is "partial 16S ribosomal RNA". It matches the Rfam family "Bacterial small subunit ribosomal RNA", at positions 29 to 507 of the family's 1533-position model. The record is from RNAcentral.
AACGAACGCUGGCGGCAUGCCUAACACAUGCAAGUCGAACGAGACCUUCGGGUCUAGUGGCGCACGGGUGCGUAACGCGUGGGAACCUGCCCUUAGGUUCGGAAUAACUCCCCGAAAGGGGUGCUAAUACCGGAUAAUGUCUUCGGACCAAAGAUUUAUCGCCUUUGGAUGGGCCCGCGUUGGAUUAGCUAGUUGGUAGGGUAAAAGCCUACCAAGGCGACGAUCCAUAGCUGGUCUGAGAGGAUGAUCAGCCACACUGGGACUGAGACACGGCCCAGGCUCCUACGGGAGGCAGCAGUGGGGAAUAUUGGACAAUGGGCGAAAGCCUGAUCCAGCAAUGCCGCGUGAGUGAUGAAGGCCUUAGGGUUGUAAAGCUCUUUUACCCGGGAUGAUAAUGACAGUACCGGGAGAAUAAGCGCCGGCUAACUCCGUG